RNAcentral lists this ribosomal RNA (253 nucleotides) under uncultured bacterium. RNAcentral's name for it is "partial 16S ribosomal RNA". It matches the Rfam family "Bacterial small subunit ribosomal RNA", at positions 524 to 776 of the family's 1533-position model. The record is from RNAcentral.
UACGGAGGGUGCGAGCGUUGUCCGGAAUCACUGGGCGUAAAGGGCGCGUAGGCGGCCUGUUAAGUCGGGGGUGAAAUCCUGCGGCUUAACCGCAGGGCUGCCUUCUAAACUGUCAGGCUAGAGCACAGUAGAGGCAGGUGGAAUUCCCGGUGUAGCGGUGGAAUGCGUAGAGAUCGGGAAGAACAUCAGUGGCGAAGGCGGCCUGCUGGGCUGUUGCUGACGCUGAGGCGCGACAGCGUGGGGAGCAAACAGG